UAUGAUGUCAUAACUAGCUGGGUAAAUGCAGGGAGAGCAGUGGAUGUUGUGUUCCUUGACUUCAGCAAGGUGUUUGACACCAUGUCUCACAACAUCCUUAUUAUGAAACUUAGAAAGUGUGGCACAGAUGAGUGGAUGGUGAAGUGGACUAAGAACUGGCUGGCUGGCAAUGCUCAGAAGGGAAAAAAAAAGAGUGCUGAAUGAAGAAUGGUGGAAUUUAGUUCUGCAGUCUCCAACCACAUCAUGAAAGUAGGCAAAUGCAAAGUUUUAUGUCAGAAGUUUUGAAAAUAACAAAUUAGUCCUGAAAUACCAAACCACUGUUUCCCACACAGAUGCCAAACGGCUAUUUACUCACACUAAUAAAGAUUUCACUCACAUAUCCAUGAUUUAAGCUCACCCAAAACUUCAUAUGAAGAAACUGCUGAUGUCUUAUUCUUCUUACACACAGAGCCAUGUUUGAACACCAUGGUCAAAGUUUGGAGGAACCAUGGAAGAUAAACAAGAAUGUCUUGCUUUCUUCUUCAUCACCUGUUAAGGGAAUGAUCCACGGUCUGUGUAAUGAAUUUUCUUCCAACAAGAAAGAACAUCCUCUUAUGCUGACUGUACUGGCCACAGGUGUCAAGGUUUUGGCAGUGGGGAGGCUGCUGGGGUGGCCUUUGCAAAGAGAUACAGAGGCUGCCCACUGCCAGACAUGGAUGGCUCCAGCCAGCUCCAAUGGCUCCAAUACAGGGCACAUCUCAGCCCGUCAGCCACGCUGGUGGCACCUCUGAGAGCAGGUAUUUAAGCAGGAGGACACCGCACAGAACAGUGAGGACAGAGGAAGAAACAGUGUGAGAAGCAUCCCUGCAAACACCAAGGGCAGAGAACUAUUUGAAGGAGGUGCUCCAGGAGCUCAAAGGUGUUUCCCUGCAGCCCAUGAAGACCGCACAGGUCCAAACAUCCACACCACAAGCUGUGGAGGACCCCUUGCUGAUUCAGAUGGACAUGCCCUGAACGAACUACAGCCUGUGGGGAUGACCCAUGGUGGAGCAGGGGAAAAGUGUGAGGAGGAAGAAGUGGGUGAAACAAUCUUCAUGGACUGACCACAACCUCCUAUUCCCCCUGUGCCACAUGGGGGGCAGGAGGUAGAGGAGUUGGAAAUGAAGGAAUGAAGACGAGCAUGGUGAGAAGGGGGAAGUGGGAGGAAGGUGUCUUAGAUGGUGAGAAACACAGACAAAACUAACUCCAUUAUAAUAGGCAAUAAAAUACUUUAAUAUUCUCCAAGUUGUGACUGUCUACCCAUGAUGAUAACUCAUAGCUAACCUCUCCCUGUCUAUCUUGACGCACAAGCUUUCUCUUCUUUUUUUUCUCCCUGUCCUGUUAAAGAGAAGGAGUGAGAGAAUGGCUGGGUGGGGACCUGGCAGUUGA
This is a long non-coding RNA of Numida meleagris (helmeted guineafowl), 1407 nucleotides long. RefSeq lists it as uncharacterized. The transcript is spliced from 3 exons. NCBI's taxonomy places the organism in Eukaryota, Metazoa, Chordata, Aves, Galliformes, Numididae. The record is from RefSeq and is a predicted model, not a curated record.